GACCUCGAAUCAGGUAGGGAUACCCGCUGAACUUAAGCAUAUCAAUAAGCGGAGGA
Molecule: ribosomal RNA, 56 nt
Filed under: Botryotinia ricini
Lineage: Eukaryota; Fungi; Ascomycota; Leotiomycetes; Helotiales; Sclerotiniaceae
Description: partial 28S ribosomal RNA
Source: RNAcentral